Molecule: ribosomal RNA, 618 nt
Filed under: uncultured organism
Description: bacterial SSU rRNA
Rfam family: Bacterial small subunit ribosomal RNA
Source: RNAcentral
CUUACACAUGCAAGUCGAACGCAACCUUCGGGUUGAGUGGCGGACGGGUGAGUAACGCGUGAGAAUCUGCCUUGGGGUCGGGGACAACCACUGGAAACGGUGGCUAAUACCGGAUAAGCCUUUGGGUAAAANUUUAUUGCCCCAAGAGGAGCUCGCGUCUGAUUAGCUAGUUGGUGAGGUAAAAGCUCACCAAGGCAGCGAUCAGUAGCUGGUCUGAGAGGACGAUCAGCCACACUGGGACUGAGACACGGCCCAGACUCCUACGGGAGGCAGCAGUGGGGAAUUUUCCGCAAUGGGCGAAAGCCUGACGGAGCAAGACCGCGUGAGGGAGGAAGGCUCUUGGGUUGUAAACCUCUUUUCUCAGGGAAGAAGCUCUGACGGUACCUGAGGAAUCAGCCUCGGCUAACUCCGUGCCAGCAGCCGCGGUAAUACGGAGGAGGCAAGCGUUAUCCGGAAUUAUAGGGCGUAAAGCGUCCGCAGGUGGCGAUUCAAGUCUGCUGUCAAAGCACGGGGCUUAACUCCGUUAACGCAGUGGACACUGAAUAGCUAGAGUGCCGUAGGGGUAGAGGGAAUUCCCGGUGUAGCGGUGAAAUGCGUAGAGAUCGGGAAGAACAUCGG